RNAcentral lists this ribosomal RNA (253 nucleotides) under uncultured bacterium. RNAcentral's name for it is "partial 16S ribosomal RNA". It matches the Rfam family "Bacterial small subunit ribosomal RNA", at positions 524 to 776 of the family's 1533-position model. The record is from RNAcentral.
UACGUAGGGUGCGAGCGUUAAUCGGAAUUACUGGGCGUAAAGCGUGCGCAGGCGGUUUUUUAAGUCAGAUGUGAAAUCCCCGGGCUUAACCUGGGAAUGGCAUUUGGGACUGCAAGGCUGGAGUGUGGCAGAGGAGACUGGAAUUCCUGGUGUAGCAGUGAAAUGCGUAGAUAUCAGGAGGAAUACCGAUGGCGAAGGCAGGUCUCUGGGCUGACACUGACGCUCAUGCACGAAAGCGUGGGGAGCAAACAGG